Molecule: ribosomal RNA, 618 nt
Filed under: Triticum aestivum (bread wheat)
Lineage: Eukaryota; Viridiplantae; Streptophyta; Magnoliopsida; Poales; Poaceae
Description: partial small subunit ribosomal RNA
Source: RNAcentral
AUGGCUGUAGAGAAGCAGAGAAACACAUUCUUUCUAUCUGCUUCUCUUAAUUUUUUGGGCCGUUCGGAUAGUACUCAUCAGGCAUAUCGAACAAAAUUCUCGUGGAAGGUCAAACAAGAUUGUUGGAAUUCCUCUUGCUUUUUGAGAACAGCUUCAAUUCGAUGUGUGCAUGAUCAUGUGUGUUCGUAUGUGUGUGUGUGUGCGCUAGCGUGCUCUGCUGGCAGAGGCAUGCACAUCCUCAUCAUCCCGCUGCAGUACAGAUUGGGGUGCAAGCAUCGUGCAGAUAAGAACGUUGUUGUAAACUCUGUUAUAUUUUGCAGGGGAAGAUUUCAGAUGCUGAUAUUCAGCGUAUUGCCAAAAGAGUUGGGUGAACAAAUGCACUCUCCAAAUGACAUCCAAGAAAAUAUUUUCAAGAGGCGGAACAAAAUAUGGUUGGCCAUGCUCGAUCCGACCAAGAGGAGCAGCAGUAGUAGGUACUGGUGCAGAUUAGGGUGUGUGGUGAUGCGAGGAGAAGCCUGUGCACCAUUGCCACUGGCCUCCUCUAGCUCCGUCGAUGGCUACUUCCUUCUUAUUGCUAGUACAGAAAAGAAUGAACUACGGGUUGCUUCUGCCUCAUGA